Ostrea edulis (European flat oyster) is the source of this 1158-nucleotide long non-coding RNA. RefSeq lists it as uncharacterized. Lineage: Eukaryota; Metazoa; Mollusca; Bivalvia; Ostreida; Ostreidae. The record is from RefSeq and is a predicted model, not a curated record. The transcript is spliced from 2 exons.
AUAUUUAAAGAAUUAAACUCGAGAUUUAAUACAUUAUAAAUUUGCCAAUCAAUUCAUCACCAAAUAAUAAUUUCAAGAACAUUCAUGUUAAUGACUAUACAAAUUGACAAUGAUAGGAUUGAAAGCAGUAAAUUUUGAAAAUCGUCUUUAUAAUGUUCGCAUUCUGGGCCCUUACUUCAAAUUAUAUAUAUUCAGCGUUAGGUACUUCUAAACCAAGUCCUGAACUUUUUCUAAAGCGUCAAUAAAUGAUCAUUAUAUUGUACCGUGUACAAAAACCUGACUAACUCGGUUUUGCACACUUCUGAUGAAGAACUGCGCAUCCUGUUUUGUAUACGAUGGAGAUAUUUAGAGUGUUGCUUUGUUAGCGACUCAUACUUGGGUUUAACGUGGUGACACGCACGCUAAGUGUUUUUUCCCGUUAGUUUACAAGGGCUUUAAUGAUUUCAUAGUUGAUUUGAAUGAAUACACUCCAAAUUAUGAAUGAUGUACUAUCUACUUAAAACAUUGAAAAUGAUUUCAGAAUUAAUUUGAGGAACAACUCUCUGAAUAAAAAUUUCCUCAAGUCCACCUUUGAUUAAUAACGUCUACCCCCCCCCCCCACACACACACUUUCUUGAUGACAGUAAAAGUAACAUUCUGGGUGUCAGCCCUAACCCCUAUGUAAACUUUCUGGAUCCGCCCCUGUAAUAACAGCUUGUGUUAAGAUGGAGAGGAGCACUAAGAAGAAGAAUAAGGCGGAAAUGUUGGCUUGAGCAUCACUGAAGAGACAUUAUUUGUCGAAAUGCGCAACAAAAUUGGUACCGUAUAAGUUUUACACUUACUGAAUACGAUAUUUUCAAGCUAGUAUCGAAGUACUGAGCUACUGGGCUGUAGAGACAUUUCUCUGGACUACGUUGUGAUCACAUGAUAUUUACUUAAGCAUAUAACAGACAAAAGAAGAGACGGAUACUGAGGGUCACAAGCAUUACACUCCUCCUCUGAUUGAAUAUUUACAUUCCCCUUCGUAACAGAAAAGUUUUAUUUUGGGUUGUAUGGCAGCGUUAUCCGUGUUAGGAUGAAGAGAGUUACAAAUGAGAACGAGACGGCUAAUUUAGUGUUGACUUCAUGCGCAUGUGUCAUGAUUUAUGAUAAAAUGUCAUGUGUAAGAAUACUACAAAG